RNAcentral lists this ribosomal RNA (349 nucleotides) under Vreelandella halophila. Its description in RNAcentral is "bacterial SSU rRNA". It matches the Rfam family "Bacterial small subunit ribosomal RNA", at positions 1184 to 1533 of the family's 1533-position model. The record is from RNAcentral. Lineage: Bacteria; Pseudomonadati; Pseudomonadota; Gammaproteobacteria; Oceanospirillales; Halomonadaceae.
GCCCGGAUCAUGGACUUACGGCCAGGGCUACACACGUGCUACAAUGGGGCGCACAGAGGGCAGCAAGCGCGCGAGUGCAAGCGAAUCCCUUAAAACGCCUCGUAGUCCGGAUCGGAGUCUGCAACUCGACUCCGUGAAGUCGGAAUCGCUAGUAAUCGCAGAUCAGAAUGCUGCGGUGAAUACGUUCCCGGGCCUUGUACACACCGCCCGUCACACCAUGGGAGUGGACUGCACCAGAAGCGGUUAUGUCUAACCUUCGGGAGGACGAUCGCCACGGUGUGGUUCACGACUGGGGUGAAGUCGUAACAAGGUAGCCGUAGGGGAACCUGCGGUUGGAUCACCUCCUCAC